RNAcentral lists this ribosomal RNA (574 nucleotides) under Paraphyton cookei. RNAcentral describes it as "LSU rRNA". It matches the Rfam family "Eukaryotic large subunit ribosomal RNA", at positions 62 to 648 of the family's 3401-position model. The record is from RNAcentral. Lineage: Eukaryota; Fungi; Ascomycota; Eurotiomycetes; Onygenales; Arthrodermataceae.
AAACCAACAGGGAUUGCCUCAGUAACGGCGAGUGAAGCGGCAAGAGCUCAAAUUUGAAAUCUGGCCUCCUUUGGGGGUCCGAGUUGUAAUUUGUAGAGGAUGCUUCGGGUGUGGCCGCCGUCUAAGUUCCUUGGAACAGGACGUCAGAGAGGGUGAGAAUCCCGUCUUGGACGGCCGGUCCGCGCCCGUGUGAAGCUCCUUCGACGAGUCGAGUUGUUUGGGAAUGCAGCUCUAAGCGGGUGGUAAAUUUCAUCUAAAGCUAAAUAUUGGCCGGAGACCGAUAGCGCACAAGUAGAGUGAUCGAAAGGUUAAAAGCACCUUGAAAAGGGAGUUAAACAGCACGUGAAAUUGUUGAAAGGGAAGCGCUUGCGGCCAGACUCGGGGGCGGGGUUCAGCGGGCGCUCGUCGCCCGUGCACUCCCCGUUCCCCGGGCCAGCAUCAGUUUCGACGGCCGGUCAAAGGCCCCCGGAAUGUGUCGUCUCUCGGGACGUCUUAUAGCCGGGGGUGCAAUGCGGCCCGCCGGGACUGAGGAACGCGCUUCGGCUCGGAUGCUGGCGUAAUGGCCGUAAGCGGC